Molecule: long non-coding RNA, 709 nt
Organism: Pezoporus flaviventris
Lineage: Eukaryota; Metazoa; Chordata; Aves; Psittaciformes; Psittacidae
Exons: 3
Source: RefSeq, a predicted model, not a curated record
AGCCUGGGAAGAAAUGAAAGUGAAAAUCCAGUGGUGUUUUAAAGAAAGGAGAAGUCAGUCGGGUGCCUUUUUCUGUGGGAUCCAAGUGGCUUCUGCAUCUCCUGUGCAGGGCUCUGCAAAAGGAGCUGAAUGAACCGGGAGCUGGAAAGGCUGCUCAGGCAGGGAAAGGAAGAGGCACCAAGGCUUCCUCGGCUCCAGACCACUUUUGAGGGAGAUAACUGAGGGAGGAGCCUGGUGAGGCUGCCAUGGGAUCCUGGAGGAUGUAGGAGAGCAUCCAAUGCUGCUGGUGAUGAACACCCAGGGCAGGCCGAUGGGUUUAGCCCACUUCAUGCAGCUGUGUUUCCUGCUUCUAACCAUUGCAUCUUCCUGUCCAAGUAUUGCCAUGGCCAGUGAUGACCCUGCAAAGGGGACACAAGACUCUUCCUUUGGCAAAACAAAUGUGACGGUCUAUCACUGUGAGAGCAAUGUAUGCGAAUCAAGCAAUGACAAAGACUGUGCAAAAAUCGGUGAAACACAAAAUAAGACAUUUUCAAAUGAAAUAAUUCAGUUGGUGACCAGUGACACGCAGAUCACCAUGUGCUUUCAUCGAGGAAAUACGAUUCCUGAAGGAGUUUAUGCAGUCUUCUGGGAGAAAGACAUGGGAGCGGGACACUCAUGUGGCAUCCUGAGUUACAAAGGUAUGCUCUGCUGGGAACCUGGCUAUACACUA